Molecule: non-coding RNA, 136 nt
Organism: Hordeum vulgare subsp. vulgare (domesticated barley)
Lineage: Eukaryota; Viridiplantae; Streptophyta; Magnoliopsida; Poales; Poaceae
Source: Rfam
AUAUUACUCCCUUCGUCUCAAAAUUCUUGUCUUAGGUUUUUCUAGAAAUAAAUGUAUGUAAAUACUAAAAUGUGACUAGAUACAUUCAUAUUUAGACAAAUCUAAGACAAUAAUUUUGGGACGGAUGGAGUAGAAU